CGUAGGUGGCAAGCGUUGUCCGGAAUUAUUGGGCGUAAAGCGCGCGCAGGCGGUUCUUUAAGUCUGAUGUGAAAGCCCACGGCUCAACCGUGGAGGGUCAUUGGAAACUGGAGAACUUGAGUACAGAAGGGGAAAGCGGAAUUCCACGUGUAGCGGUGAAAUGCGUAGAGAUGUGGAGGAACACCAGUGGCGAAGGCGGCUUUCUGGUCUGUAACUGACGCUGAGGCGCGAAAGCGUGGGGAGCAAACAGGGAUUAGAUACCCUGGUAGUCCACGCCGUAAACGAUGAGUGCUAAGUGUUAGGGGGUUUCCCGCCCCUUAGUGCUGCAGCUAACGCAUUAAGCACUCCGCCUGGGGAGUACGCCGCAAGGCUG
This 373-nucleotide ribosomal RNA is filed under the name uncultured organism. RNAcentral's name for it is "partial 16S ribosomal RNA". It matches the Rfam family "Bacterial small subunit ribosomal RNA", at positions 526 to 896 of the family's 1533-position model. The record is from RNAcentral.